GGUGGCUCAGUGGUAGAGUGCUUGCCUACCAUGCAUGAGGUCUGGGUUCGAUUCCUCAGCACCA
This 64-nucleotide transfer RNA is filed under the name Dipodomys ordii (Ord's kangaroo rat). It matches the Rfam family "tRNA". Rfam says of the family: Transfer RNA (tRNA) molecules are approximately 80 nucleotides in length. Lineage: Eukaryota; Metazoa; Chordata; Mammalia; Rodentia; Heteromyidae. The record is from Rfam by way of RNAcentral.